This 506-nucleotide ribosomal RNA is filed under the name uncultured bacterium. Its description in RNAcentral is "partial 16S ribosomal RNA". It matches the Rfam family "Bacterial small subunit ribosomal RNA", at positions 28 to 523 of the family's 1533-position model. The record is from RNAcentral.
GAUGAACGCUAGCUACAGGCUUAACACAUGCAAGUCGAGGGGUAACGAGAGGAAAGCUUGCUUUCCUUGUCGACGACCGGCGCACGGGUGAGUGACGCGUAUCCAACCUGCCCCCAACUAGGGAAUAACCUUGCGAAAGUAAGACUAAUACCCUAUAAUUUCCUCAGAUGUCAUCUGACGAGGAAUAAAGAUUUAUCGGUUGUGGAUGGGGAUGCGUCUGAUUAGCUUGUUGGCGGGGUAACGGCCCACCAAGGCAACGAUCAGUAGGGGUUCUGAGAGGAAGGUCCCCCACAUUGGAACUGAGACACGGUCCAAACUCCUACGGGAGGCAGCAGUGAGGAAUAUUGGUCAAUGGGCGGAAGCCUGAACCAGCCAAGUAGCGUGCAGGAUGACGGCCCUAUGGGUUGUAAACUGCUUUUAUACAGGAAUAAAGUUAGCGACGUGUGGUUAUUUGUAGGUACUGUAUGAAUAAGGACCGGCUAAUUCCGUGCCAGCAGCCGCAGUAA